GAAGUAAAAGUCGUAACAAGGUUUCCGUAGGUGAACCUGCGGAAGGAUCAUUACCGAGUGAGGGCCCUCUGGGUCCAACCUCCCACCCGUGUUUAUUUUACCUUGUUGCUUCGGCGGGCCCGCCUUAACUGGCCGCCGGGGGGCUUACGCCCCCGGGCCCGCGCCCGCCGAAGACACCCUCGAACUCUGUCUGAAGAUUGAAGUCUGAGUGAAAAUAUAAAUUAUUUAAAACUUUCAACAACGGAUCUCUUGGUUCCGGCAUCGAUGAAGAACGCAGCGAAAUGCGAUACGUAAUGUGAAUUGCAAAUUCAGUGAAUCAUCGAGUCUUUGAACGCACAUUGCGCCCCCUGGUAUUCCGGGGGGCAUGCCUGUCCGAGCGUCAUUGCUGCCCUCAAGCCCGGCUUGUGUGUUGGGCCCCGUCCCCCGAUCUCCGGGGGACGGGCCCGAAAGGCAGCGGCGGCACCGCGUCCGGUCCUCGAGCGUAUGGGGCUUUGUCACCCGCUCUGUAGGCCCGGCCGGCGCUUGCCGAUCAACCCAAAUUUUUAUCCAGGUGACCUCGG
This 560-nucleotide ribosomal RNA is filed under the name Penicillium commune. RNAcentral's name for it is "eukaryotic LSU rRNA". The stretch from base 230 to 382 matches the Rfam family "5.8S ribosomal RNA". Lineage: Eukaryota; Fungi; Ascomycota; Eurotiomycetes; Eurotiales; Aspergillaceae. The record is from RNAcentral.